UUGGAUUACAAUUGAUUUUAUUUCUCACUUCCAAAGAUGUCGCUAUCAGGCUAGACUGCAACUGUUAGGCAGCUAUCAAGUCUCAGUAUAUGACAUAAAUUGGCAGAAUGUUAGUACCAACGCUAUCAGUGCAUUGAAGUCGAGUUCUCGAUACAGGGAGCUGCUGGUAAACUACCGUCGCUAAACAUGGACUAUGACUACUGUCUACAAUCCUACUCUUUUAACAAACUACAUACAUAUAUUGAGAGGACUACUUCAUCACAAGCAAACAAAUUUCCAUCGGUAAAUAAGGUAGGUUCAUUGAACUGACUUAUAAAAUAUAGGCACAUUUUCCGAUAAUACAAUUUUAAUCAUUCUGGGCAUGUUACGGUACCUAUAUUAUCAUAGUAUAUUAAUACAAGUAGUAUAUUAAUACAAGUAUUUCUUCAGGUCUGUCUUCUAUAACCGCGAUAAAAAGAAAAGAAGGGCGAAAACAUUUGAGACUACAGAACUGGAAUAGUCUUAAUUUGAAUACAGUGACUGCUGAGCUGUAUCAAAUCUAUUAGCAUUAUUGCAACUUCGAUCAGGAACAUAAUUUAAAAACUAUGGCAACGGAAUUCAGCCGAUGUCAGAGUAAAAGCCAGCCGAAGUCCCGGGGUUGUGAAGUUGGCAUAAAGGGUAGGCAGCGGCAGCUCUCCUAGCAUCCCCCAGCUUUUCUGGGGUCCUAAAUUUCUCAAUCAGGCUAGUUAUUGAAUAUAUUCCAUUUUAGAUUCACAUUUUACCUUAUAACUUUAUAUUUUUAUCAUUGAUCCCUUCUCUCCCUCUGAUCUUUAUUGGUACUUAAUUUACCCGCAGACAAGUUUUACUCCCCUCUGCCCGUCUCUAUUUUCAGGCCAUUUUACGGGGAGUAUCUGAUGACUGCUGCUUAGUACCCUGAUUGCCAUCCUGAUCAUUUGGUGUAACUUUGUCCAUUGAUGCAAGCUAACCCAACCCCACUUCUACCUACCUUCAUCACUGAAUUUCUUCUCAGUGCCUCUCAAGAGCAGGAAAAUCACAUUCUCUCCCUCAUUAAUGACAAUGAAGAAGACUUCAAAGAUGCCAUCGAAAUCCUUCUGGAAGAUCAUCCGACAGAACCCCUUAUCACUCCCUCUUCAGAGUCCCUGAGUCCUUUAUCACUCCCAAACCGUCAACUUCUCCUAAGCCUAAGCAUUUUUCGGAUCUUGUGAAUCACAUCCAGCUUGACCUUCCAGAGCCCCUGGUUGAUGGAGCAAUGAAAGAACUUAUAACGAUGAAGACCGCACAACAGUAAAGAAAUUAAAGACCUUGUGGCUGAGUCCCCGCAAUGAUUCGUAUAAGUGUGGUCAACUAGCCCAAGCCGAUCAACGAGUUCCCCAAAAUUGUUAACAAUUGCCUUGUUAACAACAAUAAGGCCACCUCUGGAAACAUGACAGCCUGUCUUGUCAGCUGUAUGUCCUGUAAAGGAGCUAACCUGAACUACCAUGACGACAACGAGCCAUUGAUUGAUCAGGACAGUGACAUUUGUACGGUGUUGUUCGGUGCAGCAAGAAAACUGGACUUCAUAAGGAACGACAACAACUCUUCAGGCAGGAAAGGUACCCCUUCUUCCCCAGAAUUAUCUGUGCCAGCGGCAGACAAGUCUCUCAAUAUCAUGAAGGCUGGUUGUCAAUCCAGACUACUGCAUAGAGUUCCUCCGGGCCCUGAGAGUGGUUUUUUUUUAGAGUGGUGUUAGAUACAUGGUCUUUCCUUUAGGAACCUAACUGACCCACACCACUGACCACUCCUACCUCUUCUCCUCAUCAUCCUCCCCCUCCUAACACUGGCCCCCCUAAGAAGAAGAUCAUACUCCUCGCUGGAGAUACUUUGAGCGACUGGAAAUAGAAAAACCCGGGUAAACAGACAGUUUUCAAAGUCGCUAUAAAGGGUGGUCGCAAGACUGAUGCUGUAUUACACUCAAUCGAGCAAUUUGUGAGAGACCACCCUGAUUUAGAGAUUAAGAAACUGUUUGUGUGUGUAGGGACAAACGACAUACGAUACUGUCAGACUGGCAUUAUACACCUUAAUAGCCCUCUGCAGAACUUUCAACUUUAUGUCCAAAAUUAAAGCCUUAGCUCCCUCAGCAAAUAUCUUUGUCCAGUCCCUCCUCCCUAUACCUGCUAAUGGUAACCCCAAAGGAGAACAAAAUGUGGUCUCUAUCACUAUAAACAAAUUACUCUUUAGUCUUUGUUCCAAAUUUAAAUUAUUUUACCUUGAUGUCUUCAGUAGUUUCCUUAGUUCAUUGGGCGACAGGAACUACCAGUUAUUUCCUAAGUAUAGUUUAUACUCGAAGAAGUGGGAUAUUCACCCCAAUGCUAGGGGUAUGGGUGUGUUAGCAAGACACUAUAUCUUUAUCAUUCACUCAACAUGGUUUAAUCUGUUGGGUUACUGAGAUCGGUAUAAGUAUGAUUCAUAUUUUUUUAGAUAAAUUAUUUUAAUGAUGUAUUAAAAAGUAAAUUCUGAGUUAUAGAUACACCUGGGUAAAACACGACCAUGACAUUGCUACACAUGGGAAUAAAUGACCAGCAACACUGCAUAUGAACCGGGAAGUUUAAUUCUGCUGCUUGAUAAGUUUGUGGUAAAAGAGAAAAGUCUGCUACGUGUCUGUGUUGUCCAAGUUAUGUUCAUCCAUUGGAUUAUUUGUCAGUUCACUAAUUGUAGAUAUUAUACUAACCUACAUAAGUUAAAUUGUCUCGCAGUCUCGUGCGUAAACGAGGAUUUGAUUAGGAAAACUUAUACGAAGGAGAUAUAGGUCAUGAAUUAAUAUGAUAAUGAAUAUAUUACACGUCCUCUUAAUUUAGGUAGCACGACAUCUGUCCGACAGUACUAUUUUCUUGUGUUUGAAGUGAUGUCUCAAAUUUGGCACAUAGAAACUCGCUCAAACUUACACGGAUUAUCCGUCCUAAAACCACCAUACUUUAUGGAAAGUUUCAAGAAAAUCGUACAGUAGGAUAUGAAUGAACUACUGUCCGAAUAACCUAUUUUCUGAGUAUGACAGAUGUCGCAUAAUCAGUUUAAUGUGGUUACCGUCUCUAAAGUUGACACGAGAGUUAUUAAUUUCCUACCUAAUAUUAUUCGAAGUCAAUCCUGUAAACUGAUACUCCUUUUUUAGUAAAUUAUA
Bolinopsis microptera is the source of this 3154-nucleotide long non-coding RNA. RefSeq lists it as uncharacterized. The record is from RefSeq and is a predicted model, not a curated record. NCBI's taxonomy places the organism in Eukaryota, Metazoa, Ctenophora, Tentaculata, Lobata, Bolinopsidae. The transcript is spliced from 3 exons.